UAUCUCUCCGUACGGGGAAGGAUGAGAAGCUUCGACUAAGGUUCGAUUCGAGCGCAGCGAGAAAGCGUUGCCGCAGGCAACGACCCGAAGGGCGAAGCGCGCAGCGCUGAGUCAUCCUUCCCCCAC
This 126-nucleotide small RNA is filed under the name Salmonella enterica. Its description in RNAcentral is "partial RtT sRNA". It matches the Rfam family "RtT RNA". From Rfam's summary of the family: This family represents a bacterial cis-regulatory element known as RtT RNA. The exact function of RtT is unknown although it is thought that it may be involved in changing the cellular response in relation to amino acid starvation. The record is from RNAcentral. Lineage: Bacteria; Pseudomonadati; Pseudomonadota; Gammaproteobacteria; Enterobacterales; Enterobacteriaceae. RNAcentral also lists the same sequence under 2 other names.